GACGAACGCUGGCGGCGUGCUUAACACAUGCAAGUCGAACGGAAAGGCCCUGCUUUUGUGGGGUGCUCGAGCGGCGAACGGGUGAGUAACACGUGAGUAACCUGCCCUUGACUUUGGGAUAACUUCAGGAAACUGGGGCUAAUACCGGAUAGGAGCUCCUGCUGCAUGGUGGGGGUUGGAAAGUUUCGGCGGUUGGGGAUGGACUCGCGGCUUAUCAGCUUGUUGGUGGGGUAGUGGCUUACCAAGGCUUUGACGGGUAGCCGGCCUGAGAGGGUGACCGGCCACAUUGGGACUGAGAUACGGCCCAGACUCCUACGGGAGGCAGCAGUGGGGAAUAUUGCACAAUGGGCGGAAGCCUGAUGCAGCAACGCCGCGUGCGGGAUGACGGCCUUCGGGUUGUAAACCGCUUUCGCCUGUGACGAAGCGUGAGUGACGGUAAUGGGUAAAGAAGCACCGGCUAACUACGUGCCAGCAGCCGCGGUGAUACGUAGGGUGCGAGCGUUGUCCGGAUUUAUUGGGCGUAAAGGGCUCGUAGGUGGUUGAUCGCGUCGGAAGUGUAAUCUUGGGGCUUAACCCUGAGCGUGCUUUCGAUACGGGUUGACUUGAGGAAGGUAGGGGAGAAUGGAAUUCCUGGUGGAGCGGUGGAAUGCGCAGAUAUCAGGAGGAACACCAGUGGCGAAGGCGGUUCUCUGGGCCUUUCCUGACGCUGAGGAGCGAAAGCGUGGGGAGCGAACAGGCUUAGAUACCCUGGUAGUCCACGCUGUAAACGGUGGGUACUAGGUGUGGGGUCCAUUCCACGGGUUCCGUGCCGUAGCUAACGCUUUAAGUACCCCGCCUGGGGAGUACGGCCGCAAGGCUAAAACUCAAAGGAAUUGACGGGGCCCCGCACAAGCGGCGGAGCAUGCGGAUUAAUUCGAUGCAACGCGUAGAACCUUACCUGGGUUUGACAUGGAUCGGGAGUGCUCAGAGAUGGGUGUGCCUCUUUUGGGGUCGGUUCACAGGUGGUGCAUGCCUGUCGUCAGCUCGUGUCGUGAGAUGUUGGGUUAAGUCCCGCAACGAGCGCAACCCUUGUUCACUGUUGCCAGCACGUUAUGGUGGGGACUCAGUGGAGACCGCCGGGGUCAACUCGGAGGAAGGUGGGGAUGACGUCAAGUCAUCAUGCCCCUUAUGUCCAGGGCUUCACGCAUGCUACAAUGGCUGGUACAGAGAGUGGCGAGCCUGUGAGGGUGAGCGAAUCUCGGAAAGCCGGUCUCAGUUCGGAUUGGGGUCUGCAACUUGACCUCAUGAAGUCGGAGUCGCUAGUAAUCGCAGAUCAGCAACGCUGCGGUGAAUACGUUCCCGGGGCU
RNAcentral lists this ribosomal RNA (1346 nucleotides) under uncultured bacterium. Its description in RNAcentral is "partial 16S ribosomal RNA". It matches the Rfam family "Bacterial small subunit ribosomal RNA", at positions 28 to 1381 of the family's 1533-position model. The record is from RNAcentral.